AUCUAGUUAGUAUAAUAAGUACUACAAGUUUCCAACUUGAAAGUUCGCCAGAAUUAGAUA
RNAcentral lists this transfer RNA (60 nucleotides) under Proasellus arthrodilus. RNAcentral's name for it is "transfert RNA-G(GGA)". Lineage: Eukaryota; Metazoa; Arthropoda; Malacostraca; Isopoda; Asellidae. The record is from RNAcentral.